This 468-nucleotide ribosomal RNA is filed under the name uncultured bacterium. RNAcentral's name for it is "partial 16S ribosomal RNA". It matches the Rfam family "Bacterial small subunit ribosomal RNA", at positions 38 to 507 of the family's 1533-position model. The record is from RNAcentral.
GGGGGGGGGGGGGGGGGGGGGGGGGGGGGGGGGGGGGGGGGGGGGGGGCCUGCUUGGGGGGGGUGCGCGAGGGGCGAACGGGUGAGUAGCGCGUGAGUAACCUGCCCUGGCCUGUGGGAUACCUUCGGGAGACUGGGGCUGGUGCCGGAUAGGGGCUCCUGCUGCAGGGUGGUGGUUGGAAAGUUUCGGCGGUUGGGGAUGGACGCGCGGCGUAUCAGCUUGUUGGUGGGGUAGUGGCUUACCAAGGCUUUGACGGGUAGCCGGCCUGAGAGGGUGACCGGCCACAUUGGGACUGAGAUACGGCCCAGACUCCUACGGGAGGAAGCAGUGGGGAAGAUUGCACAAUGGGCGGAAGCCUGAUGCAGCAACGCCGCGUGCGGGAUGACGGCCUUCGGGUGGUAAACCGCUUUCGCCUGUGACGAAGCGUGAGUGACGGUAAUGGGUAAAGAAGCACCGGCUAACUACGUG